Schistosoma mansoni is the source of this 45-nucleotide non-coding RNA. The record is from Rfam. NCBI's taxonomy places the organism in Eukaryota, Metazoa, Platyhelminthes, Trematoda, Strigeidida, Schistosomatidae.
GUCCAGCUGACGAGUCUCAAAUAGGACGAAACGCGCGUCCUGGAU